UAGGGAAUAUUGGACAAUGGGUGAGAGCCUGAUCCAGCCAUGCCGCGUGCAGGAAGAAGGCGUUAUGCGUUGUAAACUGCUUUUUGCCAGGGGAUAAAAAGACCGUGCGCGGUUAAUUGAAGGUACCUGGUGAAUAAGCCACGGCUAACUACGUGCCAGCAGCCGCGGUAAUACGUAGGUGGCAAGCGUUGUCCGGAUUUAUUGGGUUUAAAGGGUGCGUAGGUGGCCCUGUAAGUCAGUGGUGAAAUAUCUCAGCUUAACUGAGAGGGUGCCAUUGAUACUGCAGGGCUUGAGUACAGAUGAGGUAGGCGGAAUUGACGGUGUAGCGGUGAAAUGCAUAGAUAUCGUCAAGAACACCGAUAGCGAAGGCAGCUUACCAAGCUGUAACUGACACUGAGGCACGAAAGUGUGGGGAUCAAACAGGAUUAGAUACCCUAGUAGUCCCUGAGCGGG
RNAcentral lists this ribosomal RNA (453 nucleotides) under uncultured bacterium. RNAcentral describes it as "bacterial SSU rRNA". It matches the Rfam family "Bacterial small subunit ribosomal RNA", at positions 355 to 803 of the family's 1533-position model. The record is from RNAcentral.